Molecule: long non-coding RNA, 13293 nt
Organism: Gallus gallus (chicken)
Lineage: Eukaryota; Metazoa; Chordata; Aves; Galliformes; Phasianidae
Exons: 2
Source: RefSeq, a predicted model, not a curated record
CUCCCCCAAAACACAAUCUCUCAUACAUUCAAAUUCAUGCUUUAAAUAUAUUUAUUUUCUGAGUAUGGUAAUUACAAUGUUGUUAUGAGGGCUACCCUGCUUCAACUAGAGUUCAAGCAACUUUCCGCUCUCCUUGUGCAAUCCUGGAAAACAUCAGUGUGUGAUCGGCCGAGUCUCUCCUGGCCCCAGUGUUUGUUGGACAGAAUUCACCUCUUUCUAUCAUUCUCUCUUGCAGGCUCUGUCUCUCCUCGCUGUGCUAUUCACAGGGGUAUAAAAUGCUCAGGCAAACAGAAGUCAAUGGCAGAUGUGUCGGCAGCACUUCUUUCUGUAAUUUUACUAAAUGGAUGUAGCCCAUAAAAGCAGCCUUAAUUAAUGGAAACAUUUUAAAGGUACUUAUAAUAAGAAUGGAAAACAAAAGUUGCCAAAAGAAAUCUUUAUUAACAAAGUAUGCUUAGAAAUUACUUUCCUGAAGGUGAAAAAAAAAAGAUCUUAUGUACACAAAAACUAAAAUAUAUAUAUAUAUAUAUUUAUUCAAACAUCCUAAAAAUCUUAGAGGACUCGGGUUUGGGACAUAUUUUCUCUUGCUCCUGUGUAACAGGGGGAGAUGCUUUUACUGUGUCUCAGGGGUCCUUUAUUAUUUAGAGGUCUGAACCUGAAAGGUGCUGAGUGCUCUCAGCUCUCAUUGACUUCAACGUCACCCAGCCCUUCAACCGAUUUCAAUGGGAUCUGGGGGAACACCACAUCCCACAGCAGAUGUUUUCCCCAUGGAGCAUCUUCUCCAGUGAAUCCCAUCUCUAGGAACACCAGGGCCUUGACUUGGAUUUGGAAGAGCUCUUAGAAGUGUGCUAGUGUGCUGAGUUAUAUCCAUACCAGACAGCACCUCAACAGCAUUUCACUAGAUGUCUGAAAAUUAGUAUAUAUUUAAGUAUUCCACCUUCCUGAAUGGCCAUACUUUUUUUAUUUCCUAUGGAAGGUGUGACAACGUGUCUUUUUGUUUAAAUAUUAAGCCAUUGUUUUGAAAAUAAUAAUAAUUUAAAGAAAACCUUAGGUUAAUCUGUUCUCAGCAGGCACAUAACCUAGACCAUGACCCUUGUCAUUUUUUAAAGCCACCAGUUUAUUUUUGCCUAUACACAUUUUGCAUUGUUUUGUUGUGGAAGAGAUGCUGGUGGAGAAACCAAGUGAACCCCAGGUCUUGUUUCACCAAAGGAGAUGGCUUCCGUUAGAAAAAUGCCCCCUCAAACACUACCUGACACUGGCAUUCCAGUUCAAAGCAAACUGUUCCUACCAUCUGUGACAAAGUCCCUUUAAUUCUCCAAACACUCCCCUGUAAAAUGCAGCUAUUAAGAAUAGCCAUAUAUUUUGCUACAUUUGUAUGUUAGAGUUGUUUUCUUUCAUUCCUGAUUGAGACAGAAUCAUUGUAUUGUUAACCCGGAGAAGUUCUCUGUCCUUUUUAAUUCCAGAAUAAUGAAACUCAUUGGAAUUUGGCGGCACUCAGUCCUGCUGACUAAUCGUUGGCAAUGGCUAAUGGCAAUUUUUAAUCAAAUCUUAUUAUUAAAUCAGAAUAUAUAAAAGAUUUAGAAAAUGCAAGGUUGCAGCUAGAGGUCAUUAGUCAUGAGCACAAGAAAUAAUCAAUACAAUUAUGGUUGCUUGAAUUGCGUUGGAUGGGCCAGGUGGUGUGGUGUGAUAAUGCAUUACCCUCUCACCUCUGGUGUCCAGCCUGCAGCACAGAUAACAGCAAGUUUGCUGGUUUCCAUCUCAGCUCUGGUGGAUGCUUGAACAUGCAGAAACCAUUAAAAGGAAUCCAACCAAAUGGGUAAAAUGAAAUUCUUAGCCAGACUAGUGUAAAUUUUCAAUGGAGUUAUUCCAGAUUUACCACUCACUUCACAACAGUUUUUUAUCCGUGUCUCUUCUAAAACUAAGACAUUGCAUUGGAUGAUGGGAACAAGCUAGGAACACUCACUUUACUAAACCGUGAACAGCUUAACCUACUGUUAAUCACUGUAGUACAAGUAGGAAGUAAUUGAAAUGAAGUCAUUAUAGAUUUAUACUAACAAUGACAGAACUGCAUUGUUGAGCAUUUCCUUUUCAUUAUGGGUACUGAGGUUGCCUUCUCUUUCUUGUCUUAGGAGUGUAUUUAAGAAAGGAUUCUCAAGAGGAAAAAAGGACUAGGAAGGGCUAAAAAAAAAGGAGAGUGUGGGUAGCAGGUGGAGCUACAAGCAAUCUGUGAAAAAGCUGCACUUCAUCCUAAUAAAUGAAUUUUCCAUCUCAAACUGGAGUUAACUCAGUGGCACCAGAAAAGUUUACACCAGCUGUGAAUCUGGCCCUACUGGCAAGUGUUCAAGCAAAAAUAUUACCAUCCGCUAGCAUUUACUUUCCAAAAGACAUGCUUUUAUUUAUCUCUUUUUAACAAAAUUAUUGGCUUUCCUCCAGCGUUAGGCAAUUUCUGAAGAAUUUCACCCAUGGCAUCUACCUGGACAAGAAGCUGGUGUCUCUCCCCUCUCAGUGAACACUGAAAAAUGCUUGAUUACCAGUAGAGGUCAAUGUCUGGAGCUUUAUACAUCAGGAGUAUUACACUUACUGAGAACUUAAAUAUUUCCUUAAAUGCUUAUUUUGGAGAGAAUUUUCUCAUACCAAAAUGUUCUCAGUAUCACUUUGUGUCAUUGUAUUCCUUGCACUAAAGACACAUCCACCCUCAAAAGCAAGCACAGGAAAUUCCAACACUACAAAAGCGGUUUGUUCAUAUAAAGGUGAGAUUUUGGCCUGACAGGCCAAUAAAAAAGUGGUUGCUCCUGAAUUCUUCUUCUUCUUUUUUUUUUUUUUUAACAAAUGCUAAAAAAUACCUCAUUUUUCUUACAUAAUAUUCAAUCUUGUGUAUCUUUGUGCACAUGUAUAAGAAAUAAAAAUUCACAUAGCAAGCUAACCACCAGCCAUAUAGUCAUAAUUGCUUCUGGAAAUAUUGUACUUGAAGACAUUUUCACAUCAGCUGAAUGUGUUCAAGUAUCAUCAUAACGUGGUGUUUACACCAGAUUAAUACCAUGUGCUGUGUGGGAAUUAUGUCAGGUUAUAAAUGGAAAUACAGUACACAAUCUGAAAUUCAGGAAUAUGGUAGAGUCUAAUUUCUUUUAAAGUGCUGUUAAUCAAGAAGAGCACAAGUACACAGGUCUGAAUAACAGCGCUCUCAGUUUACGCUGGUAUAGUGAGGGUAGGACCCAAUUCCAUCUGCCCUCAAGUUUCGUUAAACAAGUCAUAAAAAUAUCACCAGUUACAAUUAUUUCUGCAUAAUAGUAGUGGACUAAUGAAUUCAUUAAAGCAGACAGGAGUGCUGCUAGAAAACCAUGGUGAGCUCUCCAAUCUGAUGAGAAUUCUUUUUCUAGCUUUUUUUCUCCCAAAAUGGCGCCACUUCUCCAUGGCUCCUCUAGGCCUCAUGUGAUGCUGUCAACACAUUUCAACUCAACGCUGAAAGCACUUGUUUAAUCUGCAUUUUGCUCACUGCAUAAAUAGUUUAACAGUUGUCGAGAGGGUCAGAAAUAGGAAUAAAAGCACAAAAAAGUGGGAGAAGACGUGAAGAAUGCAGCAGCAGAAUGAGACUAAAUUGAAAACUGAGUUAAAAACAGAUGAGGAAUUAAGGAGUAGAAACUGAGAACCAAAACCAGUGCAAUCCAAGGGAACUUUCCAUUGAUUUCAAUCAGACCCCUGGGGAACAAAGACGUGGAGAGUAAUGACACUGAGAGAGAUGGCAUUGUUACCACAACAGACCUUAGCAAAGUGGGGGCGUAUGGCUGCAGAAAGCAAUGGUUUGCCAAGGGAAUAUCUUCCAGCACUGCCAAAGAAGAGGUAGGCUCUACUUCAUGGGGUAGGAGGACUGGUUCAGAAGCCAGGCAGUUGCAUGAAGUUGGCACUGGGCUCCACGUACCCAUUCAUAGUGCUUAUUAGCUCUGUGAUGAACCAGGCCAGAGAAGGAGCAUGGCAGAAUCAGGUCCCUCAGCUCUCUGCAGAGCUGUCCCAUGUAUUAUGUUCAGACUGCCUAAAACAAGGAGAACACCUGAUUCCUUGGCCAGCUCCCUAAAUUCAUACUCAAGUUCUUCUGAAAAGACUGCAUUGCUCAGGUUAGUAGCUGGGAAAAAAAGAAAAAAGGAAAAAAAAAAGACAAGAAAUGGCAACACUACAUUAAAGCUCUGAGUCUAAAUGAGACUGACUGAGCAACAUUAUGUGAGAAGAUUUCAGAAAAUUACAGCAUGUGAGAAGAUCUCAAAAGUAAAGGGCACAUUAAUCCCUCAUAAAGUAUAAUUCGAGUUUAAAGAUAAUUUUCAUCUUAGAGUGGAUAUGCAUGCUGUAGGAUCGUAGCUUCUUGUGUAAGUAGUGAAGUAUCUGCAGGGUAUUCUAUGGAGUGCUUCCCUGUGGCACAGUAAGUUAUCCCCUGUAUCUUCCAUUAAAACAUGCUAUAUGUUCAUGUUAUUCACAUAAACAUUACCUAACUCUCUUAGUGAUGACAGAUUGCCAUUUUGAUUAAAAAUUUAAGGGCAUGCUGUUGGUUUGACCCUGAUUCAUCUACUGAGUAGGACGUGAUAUCUUUUGUGCUAAUCUAGCUCUAAGCAGAUUAAUAUAUAUAUACUUGUAUAAAUAUAUACCCAUACACAUACAAAAAUAUAUCUGUACCUAAAAAAGUGUUGGAGGACUGAAUGAAGGAGAGCAUUAACUCUCUCUUUGCACAGGUCCUAUUAAUAUGAAAAUUAGUGUAAUAUGAUUAACUGCUCCUUUUAACACCAAAGAGUGAGUCUUGAGAGAUUAUUUUGCAAGAUGAUAACAUUUCCCUAUCCGGUUUGUAACCCUAGGGAAAACUGAAAAAAUGUGGAUUUUGAUUUGAACAAUAAUGAAAUGGUAAGUGAUAUAGCUUUGCUGUCUUAUAAUGACUGUAUUAAUUUGCAAGCUGGAGUGCUAAACCAGAAUGGAGGUGCUUGAGGAGAUAUGCCUGUUAUCUAGGCAACAGUUAAUAUGAUGAAAAAGCUAUUUAGAAGCAGCUCCAUGUUUUUAUCAUAAAUAUAACUUUAAUUCCUUGAGAAUCUCCAUAAAGUCCUGGUAGAAUGUAAUAAAUGCAACAUAAUCUAAAAGAGAAGACUGUCAUCUAUAACCAUUCCCAAUAUUAGUUAUGGAUCUUUUAAAGUUUGAAAGCACUUUCUGUAAGAGAAUCUAUCCCAUAUAUUCCAUCCUAUAUUACUUUCCAGUUUAGAAAAAUGACUUAACUGUGAUAAAGAGAUUCAAUUUUUACCUUUUGCUUGCUUUUGAGUUAGCAUGGCAGACCUUAUCUAUUAAUUUGCCAGUAAGAAUCUCUCUUCAAUUGUGCUUUUUUUCCCCCAAAAGUGAAAAAGUCUUUUCAAUUUUAAUUUCAGCGUAGGAAAGAAGUGCUCCACAAGCAGAUGACAAAAUGGAACUAUAUGCAGACUGUGUUUUAUCACCAGACUAAAAAUGCAAAGCUUCUUUCAAUACAGUGCUCUUAUGAUUGUCAAAAAUUUUUAUUACUGAUAUUUAUAUGUGAUGAGGCUGAAGAAGGACUUUUAUUAACUGGUGAGACUAUACAGAUUUCAUGUCACAUUUACUGAAGCUAAAUUUAAUUUGGCAAGGCUGUAAACCAUAGCCAAUUUUUCUACAGCAAUACCCUAAUUUCAGCCUUUGGAAAAUAAUCUUUUUAAAGUUCCUUGGAGGUCAGCCUAGAGGCCUGGGAAAUGAAGGAUGGAACCAAGAAAUAAACACAGGGCUAAACUGAGUUUCCCACAACAUACAGUUCAGACCUCAGUCAGAACCUCCCCAGUCUGGCCUCUCCAUGGCACUCAUGUUUUGCCUCAUCUUAUGUUGCAUCUCAGUGAAGAUAUACUGGCACACUCUGCACACAUAUUUGGGCAAAUGAUGCUGUAUUGAGGAAGGAAGAGACUGAAGAGUAGCCUUUACACAACACAACGCAUUGCCAGCAACUGACAUAGGCUAGCAGGCUGAUGUUCUGGGGCAGUAUUUAAGGCAUUGUCAGUUGGUUGGUCUUGCCCAGAUGCAUAGAGCAGGUAGGUAUUUUUUUUCUCAAUUUUUGUACGGAGAGCUGAAUGAACUUUAGGUGUAGGCGUUUUGGUAAGAACAGUUCAGGAGCCUGGUGUACUCAUGAGGCAGAUGUUGUUUGCAGUAGGCUGAAGCAUGUGAUGCUGUUGUAGAGUCUGAAGGCAAGUGUGUUGUUACCAAAUAGUGGUACAACACGAGUAAAUGAGGAGGUAAAUAAAUAUUUCCCAAAGGAUGGGGAACAAAUCUGGGUAAAGACAAGGAGUAACAUCAUUUCUCAAGGAAGGGUUGGAUCCUCUAGUCCUGUUUAAAGUAAAUACAGGGCAAGAAAAAUAAGAUUUAUUGGUAAGCACUAGAACAUGUGUUCUGAUGUUUAUUUGGGCAAAAAUUAUUUUUCCUCCACAUGACAGUGGCACAAAAAAAUGUACUGUUAUAAGUUGAGGCAGACUUCUAACUUUGAAGAGGAAAAGCUCUUGGGGAAAGUAUGGGAAAUAUUAAAAUAUAUGACUACCGUUUACUUUUUUUAAGCAAGUAUAAAAUGCCUCUAACCAGCCCUUGACUUACAAUCACUGAGAACGUGAAUAUUAUGACAGGAGAAGCUCUCUGCUAUCUAUUCACAUAAGCAGUUACUCGAAUAAGGAGCUGUCAUCCUUUCUAUGAGGGUUUCUCUGAAAGUAAUGCAUUCUAUAUUAUAAUGCUGACCCAUCACAUCAGAGGUGGAUGGUGGUGGUAUGGCAGUAGAGACUGAACCUCUAUAUCUGUCAGUAUACCAUUACAUUUUAUUGCCUUGUGACUGCAGCAGAGGGGCAGUCUGACAAAAUGGCGUCUGACACAGAAGUGCAAAUGAAGCAAAGGCAUGUCAUUGAAUUCCUCCAUGCAGAAAAAGUGGCACCCAGUGACAUUAACCAGUGCUUGCUGAAUGUUGAUGGAGACCAAACAGUGAAUGUGAGCACAGUGAGGCAAGGGGUGGUGUGUUUCAGCAGUGGAAACAGUGACAGUGGGUAAUCUGCACUGGUGUAGAUUUUUACAAGUGCGGCAUGCAGGCUCCUGUUCAUUGCUGGCAAAAAUGCAUAGCUAGUGGUUGUGACUAUGUUGAAAAAAUAGUGUUUUGUAGCUGAAAGUUUUCUCUGUCAAACAGUGUUAUUGUGGUCUUUGUACCUGUUGCAGUUUCCAUGGAAAUAAAUAGGAGGCAUUACUUUUGGGGCAACCUACGCAUAUAUUCUGCGUGCUAACAUCAUAGACACAGCUUUUUGCAUCACAUGGCAGAAAAGAUUUUGCCUUCUCCUGAGACAGAACUGACAGGACACGAUGGAGAAUCUGAGGGAAUCUGAAGGAUAUCCUCCCCACACCAGUAUUUACCUUUAAACACUCUCUCCUGGCUUAGGGCAGCAGGAAGGAAGUUUUUUUGUUGAGCUUUGGUCUUCAGAAUGCCUACGUUUAUGUGCAGAUUGCAGGAUGUUAUGGCGUUGGCUAUGUCAAUAUUGUCUGAGUGCAUUCUUCAACCCUGUAGCUCUGAGCAGGUAGAAGUCUGUCUGUAGCUAAAUGAUAAGGCUCUAUCUGCAGUAAGUAUAAUAACAUCGUCCACACACACGUACAGACGGCUACAGAAGAGUGAUGAGACAUUUUGUUUUGCCAAAUAUAGAACCUAAUGAAAGAAAUCACGGGUUCUACAUUUUAGCGCCUGAGACUUUUAAUCGUUGAACUUUUGAGUUCAAGCUCUUGGCUCUAGAAAAAUUCAGGCUUUUAUUGCAUUAUUUAGUCCUUCCUUCUCCCGCUAAAAUCCUAGGGCUCGAAUUAAUUACACACACAAAUCUUGGCACAGGUUUCAAUUUAAAGAGAAACAUUUUUCUUCUGUUAACUUUGUGCCUUUCCUCCAGUGGAGGGACAAGUUUUGAUUACAACUGGGAACACAGUCAUCCCAGAAAGGCUUUGGAAAGAAACAUUUCUUCUAAAGCUUAAAAUAUUUUGCAAAACUCACUUUCAUCAAAGCUCCUUCAUCACUGCUAUUAAAAUAUAUGUCACCAAUUUCAUUUAGGUUUAUGCAAAAAAAGAAUCCAUAAACUGCUGUCAUUUCUUUUCACUGCCAAUUUCUCGGCUGGUAUAAACCACCAUUAUUCCAGCUUGGUAACGCUGCUGUGCAUCCAGCUCUGGAUCUGGCUCCUGCUUUCCAUUAAUUGUGAUACAGGGUAACUGGAUGAAAUUCUGUGGCCUGUGUUUUAUAGGUAGUUAGACUUGAUGCUCUAAUGGUCCCUCUUCUGCCUUUAAAUUCUAUGAAUCUAAUGAAAAUUGUGUGUGCAUCAAGGGGAAAAUACGCCUGUUUACCAUACAAAAUUCUUGUGCCUCAUUUCACAAGAAGCCAGGAUUUCUUUUCACAGUAUUGAUAAUUAUAUUACAAACAGUAUUUAGCACAUGAAAUUAAUAAAUCUUUUGCUUCCUCGUUUACACCCGUUUCCCAUAUUGUAUUAGUAACCACACAUUAGCUAAUCAGCAGGUUGAGGGGAAAGCUGCCAAAAGCAGAUCUGAUAAUUGGCAGCAUUCAAACAAUCAUAGCAGGAAACUUUACACUUCCUGCAGACAAGGCUACUGAUGAAGACAAUGCUGAGAUAUAACUUUAGGGGAAAAGAAUUAGGAUGUUUAGUACUUUCAUGUUUAAUGAUCUCUUGAAAAACUGGAUUCACAGCUCAUGGGAGGCACAGGUAUUUUGCACAGAAACAAUGUAGAAAACCACCCAACACUGGUAAAGGGAGUUCUGAUAGCCUAGUGAUCAACUAGAAGCAUUCAUGAGAUUUGUCCUCUGCCAAGUUUUACAAGCCAUUUAAAACACCUUUUUAUUUGUCUACAUCCAUAUAUGGUACAGUUAUUACUGUAAUAGGUGAGAACUUGACACAUUUAUCAGCACAACAUUCCCGAGAUAAAUAUCAACAAAUCCAUCCCACUGGUAGCUAUUUUAAACACACAUCAGCUGAGUUUUAGACCUACUCAAGACUUCAGGUGAUUUAGAUGAGAUUUAAAACAAAAUUCAAUGUUCUAAUUUUCCACUCAUCUACUGCUUAGCUUUGGCACUAUCUAAAUUCUUUCAAGCGUUUAAAGUCACCCAAAUUUCCUCAUAUAUUCUCCUUUAAGGAAUAGAAACACUUCAGUCUUCACAGUGUGAAGAAGCUGUAGCUCUUCGGUCAAAGAAGUUCAACUUUCAGCAUUAUCCGCCACUAAGCAUCCUUCAUUUAUCUCAUUGUUGGCAGCAUUCUUGCUAAUGUUUUACUUCACAUAUCUUUCAGAUCAAGUACAGCAGGAAUGGCUGUAGAAGAGCAGAGAUGAAGAUCUCCCACUUCUCCUCACAUCUGAGUUGACUCAGGUUCUGUGGGCAAACAUACCUGUGAGUUUCUUUCACAGAGAGGAACAGUUUCAACAGGAAAAGAUGGCAGCAGAGGGAUUGUCUGACAAAAUGGAGUCUGACCUGGAAAGGCAUAUGAAGUGUGGAACUGAACUCCUCCAUGUGGAAAAAAUGGAACCCAUUGACAUUCAUUGAUGUUUGUUGAACAUUUAUGGAGACCAAACAGUGGAUGUGAGCGCUGCGAGGUGGUAGGUGAUUCUACUCCCCUUCUCACAAGAAUAACCUACCUCAUUCAUGAAGGUGACUUUUUUUAACCCUGUAGAUCAUUCCCUACAUAGGCUCCUGGUCCCUCCCCAUGACAGGACCAGUGGAACCAGCGGUGCUAUUUCUCUUCAUGUCUUUGUCCUUAAGAGAGGCCUAGGUGACAACAAAGCUGCUGACCAGAAGUUAUCUGGAAUGAGGGAAGAUGAAAAUAUGAGAGAGAAGCAAUGACUACUGCCUUCUGUACACCUUACUUUUCAUUUUGUAGUGAAACAUUGAGUUUGCACUGGUAUUGGCUUUUUUUCUUACUUUUAUUUUUAAGAAAUUCUUUUUUAUAUUGCUGACUUUCCAAGACUCUCUCCUUUUUAGAGGGAUAAUUCUUUCCUUCCACAUUUGCAUGUCCUGUGCCAGAAACCAAAAAGAGGAAAGGAAACCUGGUCUUUUCUCCUGUUUUGUAUGCUUGCAUGUGUAUUUAAGAUUUUUCCUUUUCUGAUUCGAAACAUACAUACUAGCAGCCCAGUAGAAUUUAUACUUUCUUAGUUUUUUUUUUAAUUAAUCUUCAUCAGACAUAGUUAAAAUGGAUACUCAGGCCUGGUAUAAGCUUAUUUCUUUAGUCAUCCACAUCCAAAGUAUAUGUUUGUAAUAAUCUGUGAAGCGACAGUAUGGCAGUCCUCCAGUUUCCAUACUAUCACUCAAUAGUUUUUUACCUCACUGUCAAGGAAUAUUAGCAAUCCCUAGGAGCAAGGAAGUCCAGAAGCUAUACCUGACAUUGCCCAAAACUCAUGACAAAGUAAGUCCAAUCUGGACGUCACAUUUGGAAUAGAUGGUUACUUUCCUUCACAUCUCUAUUAUAGCUAGCUCAUUCACAUUUGUCUUGCCAAUCACGUGAGCAAAUUCAUGAGAAAAGCAAAUCAAAAAGCAUAACACGGCACUGACAAAUGUCUGGAUGAGAUAGGUGACCUAUCUGUUCCUCCCUCAAGUCUGGCAUGCAUGAGAUUUAUUCAUGAAUAAAGCUUUAUGACUGUACACUGCACUGCCAUCACAACACCCAUAUAUAACUUUAAGACAAUUCUGCCAGAUAUGCAUGGUCAGCAAAAUGGAGAGAAAGGUGCUGGGUGUUGGGUCCCAUGGUCAAAGGAAACUUGUGAAAGAAUAUUUCUCUGUGUCAGAGGAAUGCUACUUCCUUUCCGCAUGCAAAAUGGCAAUAGUCUCUAAAUUGUUUGAAGAGUCUUUCAUAAAUCUCAUUUAUACUGGCCUGGUAUUGGUAACUUAAAUAGUCCCUGUUAUAAAGCAGUCUUUUAACAGCAAUAGCAGUGCUUGGCAUAGCAAACACUUAGGCCCAGCUGCUCUGUGGGCAUUACUGCCAUAUCAUAAUAUCAUUGAUCUGUAAAAUAAAGAUAAACCUUGGAAAUAAGUAGCAAUGCUUCUUCUUCAGAGUUAUGUUUAAUGAAACAUACUUUUCAUGUAGUGAUUUAAUUUCAGUUGGACUAGUUUAAUAAGUAAGGUCAAGACCUUUUAAGAACUGCAGAGAUCAAUGUUGUUGAUCUACACAAAUUAGAGUUCCACAGCAUUACCCUUGAAGCAGUGUGGGAGGCUGAUAAAUGCACGAGAUGUGGUUUUAAGACAUAAUAUUGAAAACAGCAUUCCUGUGAUUAUAUAGCUAAUAUAACAUUUUGAUUUGGAAACUUGAAUAUGUGAACUGGAAGUCGUAACGUACCAAGCUUACUUCCUUUCUCUGCUAGUAAUGCAUUUUGUGUUCUUGAGGACCAUCUGCCCUUAUAAGACAAUUGUAGCUGUCCCAUAGAGUUACUGUGAGCAUUAGUUAAUUACCACUAUAUGCUUUGAACACAUAAAGCCCCAUAGCUCACAGAAACAUGUAUUAUAAAGUAUAACUAUGCAGUUAUUGGAAAAGUCCCUGAUUGUCUCUUUGAGACAACUGUCACGUAGCACUUACUAUACAUAGGAAGUGACACACAAUGACGAAGCAGUUAAAACUCAAAAUGAUAUUCUUGCUCCAAGACAGAGCAUUUGCAUUUUUGGAGAAUGGUCUUGUUUCUUUUUACAGAUUGGCUUAAGAAGCUUUCAGAAAGGCUAAAAAUACCUUUUUAUAUUAACUAGCUUUCCCUUUCUUUGAGCUAAGCACACUGAGGUGUGGAAUGGUUUUGAUGAGCUCAUGAAUAUUGACACUAGAGCUACAAAGCUACAAACACUAGUGCAUCAUAUGAGCCCAUUUUACAUAGUGGUAGGAACUAUUCAUUACUAAUUACUAAGGAAUCAAUAUAUUUUGAAUUUAAGACCUUUAUAAUCAUAUAGAUCGCCUUCAGACACAAUAUAUACCAUAGAAUUUCACCCAAGGACUUCUACAUAAACACUGUAAUUUCUGGUCAAGCUAGAGCAGCUUUUUGCAAAGAUAUGUUUUAAAAUUCUGAAAUGACUGAAACUCCACAGUACCUUAAAAAAAACUGUCUUAGCUGCUACAGUCUCAUGCAUCUUGCACCUUGCGUGAACAUCUUCAGAUUAAGCUUUCAAUCACUGGAUCUUACUAGCGCUUUUUCUGCUAAAUUAGAGAUUCCCCAUGUACUGUAAAACUCUUUCUCAACUUGGGUCUUAGAAUCCAUGAUCAAGUCACCUUUUAACCUUCUCUCAGAUAAUCUAAGUACAUUGAGCUUCUUUAAUCUUUCAAUGUCAGGCAGGAUUUUCAGACUUUCAAUUGUUCUUGCAGUUCUUUUCUGUAACCUUUCAAGUUUGCCUUAAUUCUCCAAGAGUAAGGAGACUCAGCAAAAGGCUUUUGGGAUUCUGGGAUAGAAAUCCCUGGGAAAAAAUCUCUAGUAUCAGUGGCCGCCGGUUUUUCACAUGACUUUAGAUGAAGCAGGUUGGCAAGUUGCUCUUAGAACAAGAAUCAAAGAACUUACAGUAUCCAGUGACUGAAGGUAACAAUGAGGCAUAGAUCAGAGCCUCUAGGACUUAAGACUUGAUGGGAGAAACUACAUUUUAGUAUAUUGAGCUUUUUUCCAAUCUGAAUUAGAAUCAAAUAACUUUUUUAAAGCUCAGAAUCCUCUAGGAAAUUAAAACAGCUUUCUUCACACCAUUUUAUUAAUAAUUUUACCAGUUUUUCAUUCCUUAUUCAUUGCAUUCAAUAAAAGCAUUUACAAGAUCUGUGAUUUGGAAAACCUCUCUUUAAAUUUUAGAGAUUGUUUUGCUAAAUCAAGUAGAAAACAAUGUUUCUAUUACCAUCAAAUGCUAUCAGACUAGGCUAAAAUGAUAGGGCAAUUAAUGGUUGGGAAUGUUUACAUUCAUUGAUAAUUACAUAGCAUGGUUAUUAAGCAUUCUGAAUAUUUGAAAUGCACCACUUAACCCAAAAACACCUUGGUUGAAAAUAUAAUAGCGUUAUAUUUUAUUUAUAGAUGUGUGGCCUAGUCAAAAUUGCAGAGUUACAUCAACUCCUGCCCCUUCCCAAUAAUUCUCACUUCCCAGCAGAUAAAACAAGCACAUGGUCAUUAGUAGGUGAAAAAAAAUGGAAUGAAUAACUGAAAGGAUUAAUGUUAUUAUUCUCAUUCUCUCAUGCUCUAAUCUGUAAACUGUUUUCUAGGCUAAUUCAUCAUUGCCCUAAAGCUUAUUUACUUGUUACUGGAAUGUGCAUAUAAAAUGCUCCCAAAAGAGAA